GAUGAAGAACGCAGCGAAAUGCGAUACUUGGUGUGAAUUGCAGAAUCCCGUGAACCAUCGAGUCUUUGAACGCAAGUUGCGCCCGAAGCCAUUAGGCCGAGGGCACGCCUGCCUGGGCGUCACACGUCGUUGCCCCCCCAUCUACUCCUUCGGGAUUGCGGGGGGCGGAUGAUGGCCUCCCGUGCGCCUCGUCGCGCGGUUGGCAUAAAUGCCAAGUCCUCGGCGACGCACGUCACGACAAUCGGUGGUUGCGAAACCUCGGUUGCCCGUCGUGUGCGGUCGUCGCGCAUCGAGGGCUCGAAAAAAUUGCCGGGCUCCGGCUCGGCUUUCAACGCGACCCCAGGUCAGGCGGGGUUACCCGCUGAAUUUAAGCAUAUCAAUAAGCGGAGGA
This 391-nucleotide unclassified non-coding RNA is filed under the name soil metagenome. RNAcentral's name for it is "partial contains 5.8S ribosomal RNA, internal transcribed spacer 2, and large subunit ribosomal RNA". The stretch from base 1 to 122 matches the Rfam family "5.8S ribosomal RNA", at positions 35 to 154 of the family's 154-position model. The record is from RNAcentral.